GUCACCAUUAGAGUUCAUUUUUGGUGAGAUUGGGAGUUAAUCUUUGAAGAAGAAGAAAGGUUUCUUGUUAAGGAUCCAUUUGGUUGGUUGUGGUGAAGUUUGUUCCAUCAAUUUCACAUCUCUUCAAAAAGGGGAAAAAUUUAGGGUUUGAUCAAAUCCUAAUACGGCUCGGAUUUUGCAAGUCUCCCCCAACAAGAUACUGGCUAAUGAAAAAGGAGACCAUGUAUUAACUCUUGGGAAGUCUCAUGUCAACUGGAAAUUUUGGAGAAGGCGAUUCAAGGAUUUUACGUAUCAGGCGUGGCUGAGGAUACGUGCACAACUCAUUAUGUAAUUGUGAUUCUCUGCACAUGUUUAUCAAUUGAAGGGGAAAAUUCAUAGAAACGAAAAUGGUGGUUCCGAUUCUUUCACUAAACGUCUUCAUAUCAACGAUUUUGUGCUUUGAUUUUUUUCUCAUUUGGGCAUGCUAUAAGAUUUUGUUCUUUAUAAAUUACUUUUAUUUUUUUACUAUUUUUUCUUUAAUUU
This is a long non-coding RNA of Papaver somniferum (opium poppy), 522 nucleotides long. RefSeq lists it as uncharacterized. Lineage: Eukaryota; Viridiplantae; Streptophyta; Magnoliopsida; Ranunculales; Papaveraceae. The record is from RefSeq and is a predicted model, not a curated record. The transcript is spliced from 3 exons.